CCUGGUAACAACUGUAAACAAAAGGCUGCGGUUAACUGCUCCGCUCCCUGACAGGAUUUUUCGUUCAGUUCGUGCCAAUGAAACAGGAGGCCUCGAUUCAUGCAGAAGAUAAGGUUUGAAACCCAGACAACACGAAGCAUCUUGCCGACGUCAAAAUCAGAUCAACAGACAGGGACAUCAGCCUUCUCUUGGGAAUAGGCCAGAUAUGCCAUAACAAGAAAUGGUGUUUUGCCCCUGCGGUUGUGAAGAGGAUGCUGUGGAGGUGGCAGCAUGAACGUGUCACACAGACAUUGGCUAAACAACUCGAUGACAUUUCCAGCAUGUCCAACUCAUCAGCAUCAGGGGAGAUUCGGUGAAGGUGGUGCACCAUCCAGGACCAGUCAUGGGUCACCAACACCUCUGCAAAAUCUACACUUCUUGUGAACCCUGUAGAAGACACUACAACCACAAAACUGCUAAUAAACCAUCACAUACUGCAUCACA
Long non-coding RNA from Engraulis encrasicolus (European anchovy), 483 nucleotides. RefSeq lists it as uncharacterized. NCBI's taxonomy places the organism in Eukaryota, Metazoa, Chordata, Actinopteri, Clupeiformes, Engraulidae. The transcript is spliced from 4 exons. The record is from RefSeq and is a predicted model, not a curated record.